GUAGUACCCCCUCCGUCCGGAAAUAGUUGUCAUCAAAAUGAAUAAAAGAAGAUGUAUCUAAACGUAUUUUAAUUCUAGAUACAUCCCUUUUUAUUUAUUUUGAUGACAAGUAUUUUCGGGUAGAGGGAGUAUUAU
Triticum urartu is the source of this 135-nucleotide non-coding RNA. The record is from Rfam. Lineage: Eukaryota; Viridiplantae; Streptophyta; Magnoliopsida; Poales; Poaceae.